Molecule: long non-coding RNA, 203 nt
Filed under: Mytilus galloprovincialis (Mediterranean mussel)
Lineage: Eukaryota; Metazoa; Mollusca; Bivalvia; Mytilida; Mytilidae
Source: RNAcentral
GUCGGGUUGUUGUCUCUUUGGCACAUUCCCCAUUUCCAUUCUCAAUUAUAUAAUAUAUAUGAAUCAACGUGCAGACAUGCUUUCAAGUAUUUCAUGUUUUCAUCUUCAAUGGAUAAAAUUUCAUCCAAGCACACACAUUUUGUCAUUCACAUCGAAAGCUAACCAAACUUUAGACAGACUUAUAAACAAGGGAUAUAGCUUCG